AGUCGGGUACAAUUGAGCGUUGGUGAGAGCGACCGGCUCAUACCCGGUAGGUCGGCGGUUCAAGUCCGCCCGCCGCUACCA
Molecule: transfer RNA, 81 nt
Filed under: Armatimonadetes bacterium DC
Lineage: Bacteria; Bacillati; Armatimonadota
Description: tRNA_Pseudo_CAT
Rfam family: tRNA
About the family: Transfer RNA (tRNA) molecules are approximately 80 nucleotides in length.
Source: RNAcentral